AGCCUUGUGUGUCCAUGCUGGGAUUUCGCCAAAUACCAGACUACAAAGACUGAUGAAACUGCCAAGAUAAGUGAAGCG
This is a non-coding RNA of Schistosoma mattheei, 78 nucleotides long. NCBI's taxonomy places the organism in Eukaryota, Metazoa, Platyhelminthes, Trematoda, Strigeidida, Schistosomatidae. The record is from Rfam.